UACGGAGGGUGCAAGCGUUAAUCGGAAUUACUGGGCGUAAAGCGCACGCAGGCGGUCUGUCAAGUCGGGCGUGAAAUCCCCGGGCUCAACCCGGGAACUGCAUCCGAAACUGGCAGGCUAGAGUCUUGUAGAGGGGGGUAGAAUUCCAGGUGUAGCGGUGAAAUGCGUAGAGAUCGGGAGGAACACCGGUGGCGAAGGCGGCCACCUGGCCAAAGUCUGACGCUCAGGUGCGAAAGCGUGGGGAGCAAACAGG
Molecule: unclassified non-coding RNA, 253 nt
Filed under: uncultured Enterobacteriaceae bacterium
Lineage: Bacteria; Pseudomonadati; Pseudomonadota; Gammaproteobacteria; Enterobacterales; Enterobacteriaceae
Description: contains 16S-23S intergenic spacer region
Rfam family: Bacterial small subunit ribosomal RNA
Source: RNAcentral